UACGUAGGGGGCAAGCGUUGUCCGGAUUUAUUGGGCGUAAAGAGCGUGUAGGCGGCUAGGUAGGUCCGUUGUGAAAACUCGAGGCUCAACCUCGAGCUGUCGAUGGAAACCAUCUGGCUAGAGUCCGGAAGAGGAGAGUGGAAUUCCUGGUGUAGCGAUGAAAUGCGCAGAUAUCAGGAAGAACACCCGUGGCGAAGGCGGCUCUCUGGUACGUGACUGACGCUGAGACGCGAAAGCGUGGGGAGCGAACAGG
Molecule: ribosomal RNA, 253 nt
Filed under: uncultured bacterium
Lineage: Bacteria
Description: partial 16S ribosomal RNA
Rfam family: Bacterial small subunit ribosomal RNA
Source: RNAcentral